CAGGCUCCGAAUUCGCCCUUCCUACGGGAGGCAGCAGUGGGGAAUCUUGCGCAAUGGGCGAAAGCCUGACGCAGCGACGCCGCGUGCGGGAAGAAGGCCUUCGGGUUGUAAACCGCUUUCGGUGGGGACGAAGCCACUCGGGUUAAUAGCCCAGAGGGUGACGGUACCCAAAGAAGAAGCCCCGGCUAACUACGUGCCAGCAGCCGCGGUAAUAAGGGCGAAUUCGACCCAGCUUUCU
Molecule: ribosomal RNA, 238 nt
Filed under: uncultured bacterium
Lineage: Bacteria
Description: partial 16S ribosomal RNA
Rfam family: Bacterial small subunit ribosomal RNA
Source: RNAcentral